UGGACCCGUGAUCCGGGUUGCGGACAGUGUCUGGUGGGUAGUUUGACUGGGGCGGUCUCCUCCUAAAGAGUAACGGAGGAGCACGAAGGUUGGCUAAUCCUGGUCGGACAUCAGGAGGUUAGUGCAAUGGCAUAAGCCAGCUUGACUGCGAGCGUGACGGCGCGAGCAGGUGCGAAAGCAGGUCAUAGUGAUCCGGUGGUUCUGAAUGGAAGGGCCAUCGCUCAACGGAUAAAAGGUACUCCGGGGAUAACAGGCUGAUACCGCCCAAGAGUUCAUAUCGACGGCGGUGUUUGGCACCUCGAUGUCGGCUCAUCACAUCCUGGGGCUGAAGUAGGUCCCAAGGGUAUGGCUGUUCGCCAUUUAAAGUGGUACGCGAGCUGGGUUUAGAACGUCGUGAGACAGUUCGGUCCCUAUCUGCCGUGGGCGCUGGAGAACUGAGGGGGGCUGCUCCUAGUACGAGAGGACCGGAGUGGACGCAUCACUGGUGUUCGGGUUGUCAUGCCAAUGGCACU
This 512-nucleotide ribosomal RNA is filed under the name Salmonella enterica. RNAcentral's name for it is "partial 23S ribosomal RNA". It matches the Rfam family "Bacterial large subunit ribosomal RNA", at positions 2228 to 2739 of the family's 2925-position model. RNAcentral also lists the same sequence under 1 other name. The record is from RNAcentral. Lineage: Bacteria; Pseudomonadati; Pseudomonadota; Gammaproteobacteria; Enterobacterales; Enterobacteriaceae.